Molecule: ribosomal RNA, 615 nt
Filed under: Trichoderma harzianum
Lineage: Eukaryota; Fungi; Ascomycota; Sordariomycetes; Hypocreales; Hypocreaceae
Description: eukaryotic LSU rRNA
Rfam family: 5.8S ribosomal RNA (bases 257-410)
Source: RNAcentral
GUAAGUAAAAAGUCGUAACAAGGUCUCCGUUGGUGAACCAGCGGAGGGAUCAUUACCGAGUUUACAACUCCCAAACCCAAUGUGAACGUUACCAAACUGUUGCCUCGGCGGGAUCUCUGCCCCGGGUGCGUCGCAGCCCCGGACCAAGGCGCCCGCCGGAGGACCAACCAAAACUCUUAUUGUAUACCCCCUCGCGGGUUUUUUUAUAAUCUGAGCCUUCUCGGCGCCUCUCGUAGGCGUUUCGAAAAUGAAUCAAAACUUUCAACAACGGAUCUCUUGGUUCUGGCAUCGAUGAAGAACGCAGCGAAAUGCGAUAAGUAAUGUGAAUUGCAGAAUUCAGUGAAUCAUCGAAUCUUUGAACGCACAUUGCGCCCGCCAGUAUUCUGGCGGGCAUGCCUGUCCGAGCGUCAUUUCAACCCUCGAACCCCUCCGGGGGGUCGGCGUUGGGGAUCGGCCCUCCCUUAGCGGGUGGCCGUCUCCGAAAUACAGUGGCGGUCUCGCCGCAGCCUCUCCUGCGCAGUAGUUUGCACACUCGCAUCGGGAGCGCGGCGCGUCCACAGCCGUUAAACACCCAACUUCUGAAAUGUGACCUCGGAUCAGUAGAUACAGGCCUCA